RNAcentral lists this ribosomal RNA (369 nucleotides) under uncultured bacterium. RNAcentral's name for it is "bacterial SSU rRNA". It matches the Rfam family "Bacterial small subunit ribosomal RNA", at positions 525 to 896 of the family's 1533-position model. The record is from RNAcentral.
ACGGAGGGUGCAAGCGUUAUCCGGAUUCACUGGGUUUAAAGGGUGCGUAGGUGGGUUGGUAAGUCAGUGGUGAAAUCUCCGAGCUUAACUUGGAAACUGCCAUUGAUACUAUCAGUCUUGAAUACCGUGGAGGUCAGCGGAAUAUGUCAUGUAGCGGUGAAAUGCUUAGAUAUGACAUAGAACACCAAUUGCGAAGGCAGCUGGCUACUCGAAUAUUGACACUGAGGCACGAAAGCGUGGGGAUCAAACAGGAUUAGAUACCCUGGUAGUCCACGCCCUAAACUAUGGAUACUCGACAUUUGCGAUACACUGUAAGUGUCUGAGCGAAAGCAUUAAGUAUCCCACCUGGGAAGUACGAUCGCAAGAUUG